RNAcentral lists this ribosomal RNA (253 nucleotides) under uncultured bacterium. RNAcentral's name for it is "partial 16S ribosomal RNA". It matches the Rfam family "Bacterial small subunit ribosomal RNA", at positions 524 to 776 of the family's 1533-position model. The record is from RNAcentral. RNAcentral also lists the same sequence under 1 other name.
UACGUAGGUGGCAAGCGUUGUCCGGAUUCACUGGGCGUAAAGCGCGCGCAGGCGGUCUUCUACGUCUGGGGUGAAAACCCGGGGCUCAACCCCGGGACUGCCUUGGAUACGGGGAGACUUGAGGAUCGGAGAGGCAAGGGGAAUUCCACGUGUAGCGGUGAAAUGCGUAGAGAUGUGGAGGAACACCUGUGGCGAAGGCGCCUUGCUGGCCGAUUUCUGACGCUGAGGCGCGAAAGCGUGGGGAGCAAACAGG